RNAcentral lists this ribosomal RNA (245 nucleotides) under uncultured bacterium. RNAcentral's name for it is "partial 16S ribosomal RNA". It matches the Rfam family "Bacterial small subunit ribosomal RNA", at positions 524 to 768 of the family's 1533-position model. The record is from RNAcentral.
UACGUAGGGGGCUAGCGUUGUUCGGAAUCACUGGGCGUAAAGGGAGUGUAGGCGGGAAUGUAAGUCAGGAGUGUAAUCUACGGGCUUAACCCGUAGUUUGCUCUUGAGACUGCAUUUCUUGAGUAGUGGAGAGGGAGGUGGAAUUCCAGGUGUAGCGGUGGAAUGCGUAGAUAUCUGGAAGAACACCAGUAGCGAAGGCGGCCUCCUGGCCACAUACUGACGCUGAGGCUCGAAAGCGUGGGGAG